CCUACGGGAGGCAGCAGUGAGGAAUAUUGGACAAUGGGCGCAAGCCUGAUCCAGCCAUGCCGCGUGCAGGAUGACGGUCCUAUGGAUUGUAAACUGCUUUUAUACAGGAAGAAACACCUCUACGUGUAGAGACUUGACGGUACUGUAAGAAUAAGGAUCGGCUAACUCCGUGCCAGCAGCCGCGGUAAUACGGAGGAUCCAAGCGUUAUCCGGAAUCAUUGGGUUUAAAGGGUCCGUAGGCGGUUUAGUAAGUCAGUGGUGAAAGCCCAUCGCUCAACGGUGGAACGGCCAUUGAUACUGCUAGACUUGAAUUAUUAGGAAGUAACUAGAAUAUGUAGUGUAGCGGUGAAAUGCUUAGAGAUUACAUGGAAUACCAAUUGCGAAGGCAGGUUACUACUAAUUGAUUGACGCUGAUGGACGAAAGCGUGGGUAGCGAACAGGAUUAGAUACCCUGGUAGUCCACGCCGUAAACGAUGGAUACUAGCUGUUGGGAGCAAUCUCAGUGGCUAAGCGAAAGUGAUAAGUAUCCCACCUGGGGAGUACGAAACGCAAGUUUGAAACUUCAAAUUGAAUUGACGGG
RNAcentral lists this ribosomal RNA (580 nucleotides) under uncultured bacterium. RNAcentral's name for it is "bacterial SSU rRNA". It matches the Rfam family "Bacterial small subunit ribosomal RNA", at positions 338 to 917 of the family's 1533-position model. The record is from RNAcentral.